This 444-nucleotide ribosomal RNA is filed under the name uncultured bacterium. RNAcentral describes it as "partial 16S ribosomal RNA". It matches the Rfam family "Bacterial small subunit ribosomal RNA", at positions 338 to 795 of the family's 1533-position model. The record is from RNAcentral.
CCUACGGGGGGCAGCAGUGGGGAAUAUUGGGCAAUGGAGGAAACUCUGACCCAGCAAUGCCGCGUGAAUGAAGAAGGUCUUCGGAUUGUAAAGUUCUUUAGUCAGGGAAGAAUAAAAUGACGGUACCUGAAGACUAAGCUUCGGCUAACUACGUGCCAGCACUCGCGGCAAUACGUAGGGAGCAAGCGUGGUUCGGAAUGACUGGGCGUAAAGGGUGCGUAGGCGGUUAUGAAAGUUAGAAGUGAAAUACCCAGAGCUUAACUCGGGUGGUGCUUCUAAAACUGUAAGACUUGAGUGCAGUAGAGGUAAGUGGAAUGCCUAGUGUAGCGGUGGAAUGCGUAGAUAUUAGGAGGAACACCAGAGGCGAAGGCAGCUAACUGGACUGCAACUGACGCUGAGGCACGAAAGUGUGGGGAGCAAACAGGAUUAGAUACCCUUGUAGUC